UACGUAGGGACCGAGCGUUGUCCGGAAUCAUUGGGCGUAAAGAGCGUGUAGGCGGCUUGCUAAGUCUUGCGGGAAAUCUCGGGGCUCAACCCCGAGCGGUCGUGGGAAACUGGCAGGCUAGAGUGCGGGAGAGGAGAAUGGAAUUCCUGGUGUAGCGGUGAAAUGCGCAGAUAUCAGGAAGAACCCCCGUGGCGAAGGCGGUUCUCUGGGACGGUACUGACGCUGAGACGCGAAAGCGUGGGGAGCGAACAGG
This 253-nucleotide ribosomal RNA is filed under the name uncultured bacterium. RNAcentral describes it as "partial 16S ribosomal RNA". It matches the Rfam family "Bacterial small subunit ribosomal RNA", at positions 524 to 776 of the family's 1533-position model. The record is from RNAcentral.